Molecule: long non-coding RNA, 1507 nt
Filed under: Homo sapiens (human)
Lineage: Eukaryota; Metazoa; Chordata; Mammalia; Primates; Hominidae
Description: HSALNT0342445
Source: RNAcentral
CUGGAGCAAAACUGCUGAGGUUUGAGGCCCCGUUUUGCUGCUCACUAGCUACAUGAUCUUGGGCAAGUUAUUUAAGCUCUCUGAGCUUCAGUUUCUUCCUCUGCAGAAUGGGGAUGAAAGUGGACUACUACCUCAUGGCAUGUUUUGAGGAUGAAAUGAGCUAAUAAACACAGUCUUCAGCCCUACAUUAGGAUGGCCUAAGGAAAACAAGAAGACUGAAUGAUAUUCCCUGCUGACUUAUAUAAGUUAUUAGUCUUCUAGAAGGAUCACAAGGAACCAGCAUCAAAGAAAUGGAAUCCAGCUAAUUCCCCCAAGAAACUGAAGUUUUCGGGACAUGACUUGUGAAAGGCAAACAUAAGCUGACAUCUUUUCACACUGAACAGCAAGAGCCAAAGUGUAUCCGAAAAGCCAUUGUCAAAACAAGGAGUGAGAACAGCUGGGGUCAAGACCUAAUGAAGGGCAUCACUCAGCCUCUUUGAGCCUCGGAUUCCUCAUUUGUAAAGUGGGCAUAAUAAUACCUCACAGGGUAGUUAUGAGGGCAAAUGAGAUAAUGGACACGAAGGCACCUGUACACUCCACGGUGCUAUCAGAAUAUUGACUAUUAGUGCUUUCAUCACGCGGCUCCAUCCAAACCCCUGCUUUCCCUCACUCCAACAGGCUUUUACUCUGUCACCCAUGCUGGAGUGCAGUGGUGCAAUCUUGGCUCACUGAAACCUCUGCCUCCUGGAUUCAAGCGAUCCUCCCACCUCAGCCUCCCGAGUAGCUGGGACUACAGAAAUUAUUCCUUUGCAGGUGGUGCAAAGGAUCAGCACGGGAGUUUUGACCUGCUCCGUUUCCGACCUGGGUCGGUUCACCCCUCCUUAGGCAACCUGGCGGUUCCCCGCUCCAGGGAGGUCACCCUCUUGAUGCUGAAUUUAGCACGGACACCUGAUGGGCACAGUGCACUGCAGCCCAGAGCUCCUGAGCUCAAGCCAUCCUCCUGCCUCAGCCUCCAAGUAGCCAGGACCACAGGCACGCACCCUGAGUACAGUCUUCCCAGCAAGAAGAACAUGAGUAUUCCCUCCAUCUGGGUCAAGAUUAGAGGCUGCUUUGAAGGAGCAAGGAAAAAUGUGGACUGUUCCCAAGUAUCACUGACUUUUCUGCUUAGCAUGGAAAAAUGUGUCACUUGAGUGUUUUCCUUUUCUUUCCAAGUUUUAUUUAUUUGAACUCAACAUUAUAGCAGCUACAAAAGAAAUUAUUAUAAAGAUUAAUGACCCACAAUUUAAUCACUUGGACACAACUGUUUUCUUCCUAUAUUUCUUUCCAUUCCUUAUCUAAAUGGGAAAUUAUUUUAUACAAUUGUAAUUACAGUAUAGAUGAUACUUUAAACAUUUAAACAUUACAUUAAAGACAAUUUUCUAAAUUUCCAUUGUCCAUAUCAGCAUAAGUUUCUUUUAUUUAUUUAUUUACUUAAUUUAUAAUAUAGAGACAGGGUUUCACCAUGUUGCCCAGGCUGAUCUCGAACUCC